AAAUAAAUUAUUAAGAGCACUUGAUGGAUGCCUUGGCGUUAAGAGGCGAUGAAGGACGUGGCAGGCUGCGAUAAGCUGCGGGGAAUUGUCAACAGGUUUUGAUCCGCAGA
This 110-nucleotide ribosomal RNA is filed under the name Rickettsiales bacterium. Its description in RNAcentral is "partial 23S ribosomal RNA". It matches the Rfam family "Bacterial large subunit ribosomal RNA", at positions 1 to 110 of the family's 2925-position model. The record is from RNAcentral. Lineage: Bacteria; Pseudomonadati; Pseudomonadota; Alphaproteobacteria; Rickettsiales.